RNAcentral lists this ribosomal RNA (383 nucleotides) under Escherichia coli. Its description in RNAcentral is "partial 23S ribosomal RNA". It matches the Rfam family "Bacterial large subunit ribosomal RNA", at positions 1361 to 1746 of the family's 2925-position model. Lineage: Bacteria; Pseudomonadati; Pseudomonadota; Gammaproteobacteria; Enterobacterales; Enterobacteriaceae. The record is from RNAcentral.
AACGUUAAUCGGGGCAGGGUGAGUCGACCCCUAAGGCGAGGCCGAAAGGCGUAGUCGAUGGGAAACAGGUUAAUAUUCCUGUACUUGGUGUUACUGCGAAGGGGGGACGGAGAAGGCUAUGUUGGCCGGGCGACGGUUGUCCCGGUUUAAGCGUGUAGGCUGGUUUUCCAGGCAAAUCCGGAAAAUCAAGGCUGAGGCGUGAUGACGAGGCACUACGGUGCUGAAGCAACAAAUGCCCUGCUUCCAGGAAAAGCCUCUAAGCAUCAGGUAACAUCAAAUCGUACCCCAAACCGACACAGGUGGUCAGGUAGAGAAUACCAAGGCGCUUGAGAGAACUCGGGUGAAGGAACUAGGCAAAAUGGUGCCGUAACUUCGGGAGAAGG